CUUAACCCACUGAGCAAGGCCAGGGAUGGAACCUGCAUCCUCAUGGAUCCUAAUCGGAACAAGUAAUUAAGACAACACUUGUGAGCUCUAAUUUGGAUCACACGUACGUGGAUGUGUUAGGAGCUGCAAGCCAAAACAUGCAAAACCAGCCUUUCAUCGAGGAGAAAAGGAAAAGUCUGGAAUGCAAGGGAACACCGGGGAGCCGAACGCGGCUGCGUGAACCAGAACCCACUGCUGACGGCCCAUCCCGUUAGAGCCCGCGCCUUUGGCUACACCCGCGUGCAGCCCGGGGCCGUGGGGGCUGUGUCAUGCCACGCAGCGGACCUGGAGCUGGUGAUGGGUCCCUCAGCUCAGAGCUCGCCAGCACGAGGAACUGGGGUCUGCCUGCCUGUCCGUCCGUCCGUCUGUCGCCUUCCCAAGCUGCACGGAGCCCUGGUGGAGCACGGUGUCAGGGACAGAGGCAUGUCUGGACUAGCCGAGCCCUUGUGGUCAAUCUGCCAAGCCUCGGGCUCCGAAGCAGAGGCCCAGGGGCAGGGGUGGCGGUGGGGAGCAGUGGCCAAGCCCCCUGGGAACCUGCAGGUUGCCUCUGAGCCACAGGGCUGUUGUGGCCCUGGGUCUGACCCAGAGUCAUGACCAGAUGGUCAAGCGGGCGUGCAGUGUACGUCUGGGGACCAGAGCCACGCAAGGAACAAGAACGUCUCCAUGCAGGUUGGAUGAGGCUUGGGCGGUGGGCAACCUUGGAGAAGGUUCUGUCAUGAAUGGUUUCACCUCGGCCGAGAGGGCGCCGGGGUCCAGGGCGCGCCGACGGCCCCCACCCCGCCCUGCCCCCCGUGACUGGUGCGUGUCCAGCCGGCCAGUGCAAAGCAGCACAACAGAUCACGGUACCCGAAGUGAAAUUCACAGACAAGAAAUACUUUAAUUAAAUAUUGUGUAAAAUGAA
This is a long non-coding RNA of Phacochoerus africanus (Common warthog), 940 nucleotides long. RefSeq lists it as uncharacterized. NCBI's taxonomy places the organism in Eukaryota, Metazoa, Chordata, Mammalia, Artiodactyla, Suidae. The transcript has 2 exons. The record is from RefSeq and is a predicted model, not a curated record.